RNAcentral lists this unclassified non-coding RNA (5126 nucleotides) under Leishmania donovani. RNAcentral's name for it is "gene:LdHU3.32.1390(CDS-product:WD_domain_G-beta_r epeat_putative)". The record is from RNAcentral. Lineage: Eukaryota; Euglenozoa; Kinetoplastea; Trypanosomatida; Trypanosomatidae.
UGCAGCUCGCUUGCUUGGUUGCGACCUGCCCUUUCACCGAAGGAUCACAUCUCCAUGCACGACAAGGCUGCCGACACGCUUCGUCAGACACCGACAGGCACAGCACAAGCACAUUAUACAAGCGUACCCGAGAACGUCAUACCUAUCGACGCGGGCACCGUAGCAAACACAUCCAUCGUAUGCACACGCGCACACACGCUUUCUACUCUUCCUUUUCCCCGGCGACCUGAUGCAUCUUUGAGGCUGCAGUGCAGCGAGUAGAAAACCAAGCUACCACCCCCGCAGAGGGGCCUUGUCGUCGGUGAGGACCUCACCAAAAGACCUCAGCGCGUCUUUGUGCUUAUGUGUGUAUGGUUUCGUUCGAAGCGCCGCUUCCCCGGCUCCGCAAGAGAAGCACACACACAAGCUCACACGCCUUAUAGCGAUGAGCAACUCUUCUCUCUCCGUUAACCCGACGCCGCCGCCGCACGAUGCUGAGGUAUCAGUGAUGAAGAAAGAUGACGAUGACACCACGCCGCAGCUUCUUGAGAGCUCACUCGCCGCGUCGCGGUCGCCAGCGCCGCUGCCGGCACUUCCACCUCCGCCAAUUGUGGCGCAGAUGAUGAACCCUGCGGUGGCGCCACCGUCCCAAGCUGUUCAAACCUCGUCGGCCGCGCCAAUCACACAGCCGCGCUUGCAUCACUGGUCACAGCUUCUAGGGGCUCCGACAGGGAUGUCACCCGCCUUCGACGGCCGUCAGUCACGCGCAUGCGGGAAACCCUUUCGUUCUCGUCGGCCUUGAGUGACCUGCCUGUGGUGCCAGCGAUCCCGGUCCCCGACAACGCCGUCUCUUCCGUUACUCCGCCACCGCUUGCGAGCUCGCAGCAGAAUGCCUCGCCCUCAGUGGACCUCGGUGCGCUUCCAGUAACGGGUUCGGAAACGUGCCCGCCCGUCCACAGCCCUCCAUCUUCCCAGUAGUGCCUUCUGCGUCGCCUCUCGCUGAAGACACGUCUCCGACGCUUACGCCGCCCCUCGAGGCGGCAGCGCUGUCGUUGCCUGCUCUGCCGCCGCCUCCAGCUCUACCACCAACGUCCACGCACACCGACGACGCGGCUCCUGUGAAAAUACCUUUGUACCCAUCGCAUCCGACCGCUGCAGCGCUCGCAACGCCAUCAUGCGUGGAAGGAGUGCGUUCGAUGGAUACCACCACCUCUGCGGCUCCGGCAAACCUCCCUCACGCCGUCAUAUCACUCCUGCCGGUUCCUUCGGCACCUGCAGUCGUCGUGCCAGCGUCGCCGCUGCGGCCGCUGUCCGCGAGUGUCACGCCUGCGUCGCUGGUAGAUACUCCUGCGCUUGCGGCGGCCGUCACAACUAUGCCAUCACCUGUCACGAAUAGUCGGCCACAAUACCUUCACUCCCAGCGACGGACUUUGGAAGCAGCGGCGCGCGAUUUGCUCUCCGCCCGCAAUGAACCAAAGGACCUUGUGAUUUGCUGCACAUCAACCUCCUCGUGCGGAGGUAGCAGUGACAGGAGCAGCACAGGUGGCGACAGCGGCUGCGUGAGGCGUACAACGCGCAUCAGUCAAACUCGCGCCCGAGGAAGGCGGCGCCAGCGGCGCGGUGGUGCUCACGCGAAAGCCGCUGCGAAGCCAGUCUCCUCGCGCCGGCGUCGGAAGACCCCCUCCUCCCAUGGCGCAUUGCCGAAGGUACAGCGGCCGCCUGCUGCACGUCUCUUUGAGGGCGAAGGCCAACGGGGGCCGUGGUUGUCGUCGGCGUUGCGAGAGAAGACGUCCAUGCCAUCGCAGAGCACAACCACACGGGCGCCGUAUGGUGACACCAAGCGGAGAAAAAAGGGUCGUGGUGAUCGAACUAGUCGGGGCUGUGGAAACACAGUGGCCACGGAUGCAGCGGGCAUGGAUGGGGCGGCGCCUGCCGCUUCGGCCGGAGGUGGUGCCUCACCAACCGUGGGGGACGGGUCUGACGCACCCCUACUCUUCACGAGCCCUGCAGCGCGCUUGCAUGCAGCGUACCAAAACAGCACAAAAAACAAAGGGCUCACAAAAGCAGAGGCGAGCCGACUGACGCAGAGAUCGUUCCUGGGGAGCACGGACGCUGGACGACGGCACAAGACGAAUAGGUCGAGUGACGUGAUCGCUGCCGAUGAUGGCGAUGACACUGGCGGCACCGGUGGCGUGGGUACGGAGCUCGCGGUGCAAUUCCGCGCCACGGGUGCUUUCAACGACGAGGACGAAUGGGCACGACCAUGGCACACCGGCAGCAGUGACGUCCGCAGUUGCCAAAGAGGGGGGAGCGCUGAAAGCACCACGUCGUCGAAGCUAGCCGCUGACAACGCAUCCGACGAGCAUGGCGUUGUGUUGGUCUUGACAAUACGCGGUAUGAGCCCUCUGCACGCCGACGCCGGCGUUGUGCAUCCCCUGGUGCGCGCGUGGGUCGUGAGCUGUGCGACGGGGCGCAGCCUGGUUCAGGCAUCCACCUCUGUCCCCUGCGCCGUGACACAUCCGUUUGAUCUCCGCGCACACAAGACGCGCGCGCCGUGGUGGAACGCGCAGCUGGCUCUGCGGCUGAGUGCAGAACAAAUGCGCACCGCGGCGGAGGACGCGAUGCUUCUGCUGGAAGUCCUGGACUUUGGCAACGAGACCAUCCACGGCUUUCCACUUAUGCGUGAGGGGCUUUAUCCCAUCUGCUGGGGAUUUCUGAUGUUGCGCGGCUGCGCCGGUCGCUCGAACCUGCUCGCGGCAGACGACUUGCAUGUGCAGCUUUACCGCUACCCUUCUCGCACGCCGUGGUACCUGUCUCUGCUUAGCGCGCUGAUCCCCGUCUCAUGGUCCACGGCGGGCGCGGCAUUUGAACCGCAUGAUGCAAGUGCAGCCCGCUUCUGCAGCAGCGGCCCCAGAUCCUCCAUCGCAAACGACGUGCCAACCAUCUACACCGUGUUUGCAAACGCAAACACCCGCAAGAUUCCGUACGAGGGCUGCAUCGUGCUCCGAGUACGUCAGACGAGCAACACCGCCUUCGUUCCUGACACGACGGAGAUGCUCCUCUACGAGGAAUACCUCCUCUCCAUGCUGGCGGCCGAUGGUGGGAGUGUCUCGGUGCCGCGCUCCUCCCGGUAUGCUUGCGCAGCCGCCAAUGACGAGGUGUCGCUGGGCCGGAUGAGAGAGGAAGACUGCGUCUGCGGGGCAGCGAUUCCAGCGAGCCCCUGGUCCACGAUAGCCCUCACCGAAAACUACUACCGAAUGGACGGCGAGCGGUCAUUGCUGCCGCACGAGAUUCUGCAAACGACCGCAGUUCUGGGGGUGGUCACGUGCGUCUCCUUCGCCCAUAGCGGCUCCUUCGUCGCGCUCGGCGUCUGUCGUCACCUCCAGCACGUGGUUGAGCUGCGUAAUCCCCUGCUCCCUGAGAUGGCCGUUGUUGCCUGCCUUGUCGGUCACACCGGCCACGUCCACCGUGUCGUGUUUCAGAAGGAGGACAAGUACCUGCUCUCGUGCUCGUCUGACGGGACGGUGCGUGUCUGGCAGCCCAGAUCGUCGGACGGCGUCCUCACUCCUGAACCGAGCGCAGGGCCUGAAAGCAUGCAGUGCGUGUGCACGUUACCACACGGCUUUCCGGUGUAUACGGCAGUGUUCCACCAGGGCAAGAUAAUUGCUGGCGGCUUCAGCGAUCAGCUCUUCGUCUGGGAUUACGAGCACACGAUCCAGGGGGAGAUGGAAUCGAUGAUGACGACAGGCAACACGACGCUGCGUUCCAUCACCACAUUCACUCCAGCGCACCUCACAAGAGCCCCUCCCACGCAUUCGCCGCGCUCAACUCUGGCGGUUCUCGGGCAGCUUGUGCAGCGGGUCGACACGGCCGGCGCUGCGGCGGCGCGGGAGUGCACGCCGACUAUGACGCUCAGCCUUGCCUCGAACGAGCGCAGCAAUCGAGUAUGGUCCGUCCACGCGAACGGCUCUGUGGUGUGCUGGCGCGCCACCACAGAGACUGCGAGCCACGGCGGGGGCGACAGUCUGUGGCAAAUGUCGACGCGACACACGGCGGACUGCAGCGGCGCGGCAGAGGUGCAGGUGAAGGGCGGAUACGCCAUUGUGACCUGCGGAUGUGCUCCCGUUGUAUUUGUCUUUGACGCCACCACGUGCGAGCAGCUGCGCGUCGUCAACACACGACUUUCGGUUGCCACGCCGAUUCACCUUUUGCCCGACGGGGAGGCGUUCGUUGCGGCCAUGGGCGCCCAGGCCGACUCCUUGCAUGGGAGUGCUUUGAUGGCGGCUUGUGCACCGCUGCCUCCGGCUACGGCAAAGCCUCUCCACUGUUCAACGUAGCGCGGAUGGCGUGGGCGGAGUCGCAGCAGCUCGCCGUCUUCGUCAGUCGUUCACCGUCCUCGGAGGGGGAGAUGGCACGCUAUACACAAGGGCCAAUGCAGCCGGCUGCUGGAGAGAGCGCAGCCGCUUUCCACUAUCGGCAGCAGGAGCAGCAGUACCGGCAGAGCGACAUACCGACCGAGGCAACGCUGAUCACGAUCGCAGGCACGGUUCGGCGCAAGUCGACUGUGCUUCUGAAGACAGACCCUCACUCCUCCGAUGCGUUUGUGACGAUGUUCGGCGGUGAUGUACAGCUGAAGCGAAAGGCGGCUUAUCUGGCGGAGCGGGAACGCGCAAUGCACCAGCGCGCGGCUGAGCGCGCUACGCGCAACGAGCGGCUGCACCCGAGAACCGCCUCGUCGGAGCUCUCGGCGCUGUUCGCGGCGCCGGUGGCUACCAGCAUCCCAUACGACGCGACGGAGAAGGGGGCGCGCAUGAACGCCAUCGUGAACUUCUGGCGUGGGCUUGUUAGUCAGCAUCGACGCACGGAAGCGCGCCCCCAGGAUUCCGAGGGAGUUUCCUCUAGCACCGACGCGUUUGGCACGCAUCCUGCAGCGUGGCGUGCGCUGCAGUACAUCGAGGAUGUUGCAGAUGCUCUAUGAGAGGAUGUGCACCUCCCCAUUCCCGUCCUUUUCACGUGCAUCUCCUGCUCUACACGGCGUGAGCGCAUCGCCUUCUGUGGCGCAUUGUUGAAGAGGAAAGUAGGCGGCGAUUCACUGUGCGCGACACGCGAUGGCCUGGGUCUGCUACAUAGAUGAUGUCCAUUCAAUG